AGGUGGCAGAGCUAAUUGAAAAGUAUCUGGUGCUAAUAGGAUGCGCUGCUAUUGAAGAUAAGCGUCAAGAAGGGAUGCCAGCUUGUAUAGAAACUCUAUUUUUAGCUGGAAUGAAGAUUUGGGUGCUAACAGGGGAUAAAAUUGAAACUGCAAUAAAUAUAGCCUAUGCAUGCAACUUGAUCAAUAAUGACAUGAAGCAAUUCAUUAUCAGUUCAGAAACUGAUGCAAUUAGGGAGGCUGAAUAAAGGGGGGACACUGUAGAGAUUGCGCGUGUUAUUAGAGACUCAGUAAAACAGGAUCUGAACCGAUGCCUUGAGGAAGCUCAGCAAUACUUGCGUACUAUAUCAGGAAUGAAGUUGGCCCUUAUAAUUGAUGGGAAAUAUUUGAUGUAUGCACAGGACCCAAAUUUACGUGCGAAUCUGCUCAAUUUGAGCUUGAAUUGUAGUUCUGUAGCUUGUUGUCGUGUUUCUCCACUACAAAAGGCACAGGUAAAGUUUGUCCUUUCUAAGCGUGAGUGGCUAGAAUUAAUUUCAUGGAUUAUGUUCCGUGUAUACACACACUUACACAUGCGGACAUGGUUUACAAAAUUGAUGUUUUCCUUUUGGCAGUGUAGCAUCGAUAGUUGAGAUUUUUGAGGAAUGAUACACAUUUUACAUAAUCAGCAUUAUGAAAUGCAUAUUAUUGUAC
Molecule: non-coding RNA, 687 nt
Organism: Elaeis guineensis (African oil palm)
Lineage: Eukaryota; Viridiplantae; Streptophyta; Magnoliopsida; Arecales; Arecaceae
Source: RefSeq, a predicted model, not a curated record